This 72-nucleotide transfer RNA is filed under the name Lachnospiraceae bacterium. RNAcentral describes it as "tRNA-Cys". It matches the Rfam family "tRNA". Rfam says of the family: Transfer RNA (tRNA) molecules are approximately 80 nucleotides in length. The record is from RNAcentral. Lineage: Bacteria; Bacillati; Bacillota; Clostridia; Lachnospirales; Lachnospiraceae.
GCUGGUGAACCGGUACGGCGCCGGAAGUGUCUGCAAAACACUCAUAAGUGGGUUCGACUCCCACCAUCAGCU